This 141-nucleotide unclassified non-coding RNA is filed under the name soil metagenome. RNAcentral's name for it is "partial internal transcribed spacer 1". The record is from RNAcentral.
CCUAGAGUUGUAGGCUUUGCCUGCUAUCUCUUACCCAUGUCUUUUGAGUACCUUCGUUUCCCUCGGCGGGUCCGCCCGCCGAUUGGACAAUUUAUAACCAUUUGCAGUUGCAAUCAGCGUCUGAAAAAACUUAAUAGUUAC